CCCCUAGUAACUGCGAGUGAAGCGGGAAAAGCUCAAAUUUAAAAUCUGGCGGUCUUUGGCCGUUCGAGUUGUAAUCUAGAGAAGUGUUACCCGCGCUGGACCGUGUACAAGUCUCCUGGAAUGGAGCGUCAUAGAGGGUGAGAAUCCCGUCUUUGACACGGACUGCCAGGGCUAUGUGGUGCGCUCUCAACGAGUCGAGUUGUUUGGGAAUGCAGCUCAAAAUGGGUGGUAAAUUCCAUCUAAAGCUAAAUAUUGGCGAGAGACCGAUAGCGAACAAGUACCGUGAGGGAAAGAUGAAAAGAACUUUGGAAAGAGAGUUAAACAGUACGUGAAAUUGCUGAAAGGGAAACGCUUGAAGUCAGUCGCGUUGGCCGGAAAUCAACCUUGCUUUUGCUGGGCGUACUUUCUGGUCGACGGGUCAGCAUCAAUUUUGACCGUUGGAUAAAGGCCAGGGGAAUGUGGCAUCUUCGGAUGUGUUAUAGCCCUUGGUUGCAUACAGCGGUUGGGAUUGAGGAACUCAGCACGCCGAAAGGCCGGGGUUUUUGCCCACGUACGUGCUUAGGAUGCUGGCAUAAUGGCUUUAAUCGACCCGUCUUGAAACACGGACCAAGGAGUCUAACAUGCCUGCGAGUAUUUGGGUGGAAAACCCGAGUGCGCAAUGAAAGUGAAAGUUGAGAUCCCUGUCGCGGGGAGCAUCGACGCCCGGACCUGAUGUUUACUGACGGUUCUGCGGUAGAGCAUGUAUGUUGGGA
RNAcentral lists this ribosomal RNA (752 nucleotides) under Nidula sp. Its description in RNAcentral is "partial large subunit ribosomal RNA". It matches the Rfam family "Eukaryotic large subunit ribosomal RNA", at positions 77 to 814 of the family's 3401-position model. Lineage: Eukaryota; Fungi; Basidiomycota; Agaricomycetes; Agaricales; Nidulariaceae. The record is from RNAcentral.